This 459-nucleotide long non-coding RNA is filed under the name Trifolium pratense (red clover). Its description in RNAcentral is "long non-coding RNA (TPRA_LNC012807)". Lineage: Eukaryota; Viridiplantae; Streptophyta; Magnoliopsida; Fabales; Fabaceae. The record is from RNAcentral.
CAUAAGCUUGGUAACUUCACAAACAUUUGUACCAAACUCUUUGAAUUCAAAGCGCACCCUAUCUUCGAAUUCAAUAUUGUUGUCCGAACAAAAUGUUUUACAUCCUUUUACAAUCUUGACAUUUUUCAAAUGUGUAGACGGAUAUUUUAAGUGAACUUCUGAAUUGGAUUGGUCUGGUACUCCUAGAAUGAGCAUAUGAAAAUUGAAUCGCCGACCAUAAUCAUUUAAUGCAGUCGGUAAGGUCUACAAAACCCAAUUUUAAAAAUUAUAUAAUGUUAGUUUUACAUGUAAUUAAGCAUAAUAAAAAUUGCAAAAUAAUGAAAAUAAACUUAAAAACAUAGCUUACAAUCUGAGUUGGGGUACUCAAGUUUAGGUGACCAACGCUGAAUUCAAAUACAUAUGAUUUAGGGACUUGACGACCACUGGCCAAUGUAGUGAAGGUCUCAUAAUAGACAUUAU